RNAcentral lists this ribosomal RNA (623 nucleotides) under Entoloma haastii. RNAcentral describes it as "LSU rRNA". It matches the Rfam family "Eukaryotic large subunit ribosomal RNA", at positions 49 to 656 of the family's 3401-position model. Lineage: Eukaryota; Fungi; Basidiomycota; Agaricomycetes; Agaricales; Entolomataceae. The record is from RNAcentral.
AGCGGAGGAAAAGAAACUAACAAGGAUUCCCCUAGUAACUGCGAGUGAAGCGGGAAAAGCUCAAAUUUAAAAUCUGGUAGUCUUUGGCUGCCCGAGUUGUAAUCUAGAGAAGUGUUAUCCGCGCUGGACCGUGUACAAGUCUCCUGGAAUGGAGCGUCAUAGAGGGUGAGAAUCCCGUCUUUGACACGGACUACCAGGGCUUUGUGAUGCGCUCUCAAAGAGUCGAGUUGUUUGGGAAUGCAGCUCUAAAUGGGUGGUAAAUUCCAUCUAAAGCUAAAUAUUGGCGAGAGACCGAUAGCGAACAAGUACCGUGAGGGAAAGAUGAAAAGAACUUUGGAAAGAGAGUUAAACAGUACGUGAAAUUGUUGAAAGGGAAACGCUUGAAGUCAGUCGCGUUGGCCAGGGAUCAACCUUGCUUUUGCUUGGCGUACUUCCUGGUUAACGGGUCAGCAUCAAUUUUGAUCAGUGGAUAAAGGUUAGGGGAAUGUGGCAUCUUCGGAUGUGUUAUAGCCCUUGGCUGCAUACAUUGGUUGGGAUUGAGGAACUCAGCACGCCGCAAGGCCGGGUUUUAACCACGUUCGUGCUUAGGAUGCUGGCAUAAUGGCUUUAAUCGACCCGUCUUG